UACAGGGGGUGCAAACGUUGCUCGGAAUUAUUGGGCGUAAAGCGCGCGUAGGCGGCCGCUUAAGUCGGAUGUGAAAGCCCCUGGCUCAACUGGGGAAGUGCACCCGAAACUGAGUGGCUUGAGUACUAAAGAGGGUCGCGGAAUUCCCGGUGUAGAGGUGAAAUUCGUAGAUAUCGGGAGGAACACCGGUGGCGAAGGCGGCGACCUGGGUAGAUACUGACGCUGAGGCGCGAAAGCGUGGGGAGCAAACAGA
Molecule: ribosomal RNA, 253 nt
Filed under: uncultured bacterium
Lineage: Bacteria
Description: partial 16S ribosomal RNA
Rfam family: Bacterial small subunit ribosomal RNA
Source: RNAcentral